This 393-nucleotide ribosomal RNA is filed under the name Triticum aestivum (bread wheat). RNAcentral's name for it is "partial small subunit ribosomal RNA". The record is from RNAcentral. Lineage: Eukaryota; Viridiplantae; Streptophyta; Magnoliopsida; Poales; Poaceae.
AUGGCGAGUACGUACAUGCAAGCGUGCAGUGCAUCAAAGGAAGCAUCAAUGGCCGGCGCCAGGUGCGACGAGAGGCUCGUCAUACACCACGUGGCCAACGGCGGGUGCUUGGACGACUUCAACAAGGCGAUGACAAAGUGCCGCGCCCGCUACACUGCCGAAUCGACACGACUCGACAGGUUGCUCGGCAAUCGUGUGGUGGACGUGGAGGCGUGCGUCAAGGCCACGGCGGCGCUGCGCAAGUGCUUUGCUGGCAACCCCGCGGUGUUCAAGCACCAGUACCUCCGCCGCAUGGACGAGGGCCUCGACGAGGACACCAACGCGUCGCCGGACGAUAUUUGGAGCGAUGAACGUCACAUGUUCAGGUGGUGGACUGGCAUGAGGAGAAGCUAA